GCGGUAGUGACGGUGGCGUUUCCUUGAGGAAGAGUGAGGGUUCCAACUUUUCUGCUUAUCUGGGAGGUGUUGGGCGCGGACAGUCGAGAUGUCAGAGAAAAAGCAGCCGGUAGACUUAGGUCUGUUAGAGGAAGACGACGAGUUUGAAGAGUUCCCUGCCGAAGGGCAACUGUACUCCUGAUGAUAUUGGUCUGUGAAACCCCGUAUGGCUGCUAUGUUCUCCACCAAAAGGGAAGAAUGUGCAGUGCUUUCCUCUGCUGUUAACAGAUCAUCAACCUGUAUGUGUUCAUGGCCCCACCUAAAUGUAAAGAGCUGGGAUGCACAGGAUUGGAGAGCUAUUAUUGAGCACUAGUCAUGUGGAUAUGUGCAUGGAGUCAGUAAGGAGGGAGUGGGGUGGUGCUACAGCAUUUCAGGCAAAGAGAGCAGCCUGGGUGAAGGUCCAGCCUGGGCAAGGUAGGAUUAUGGUUAGCAUACUGCAGUAUUGUUGGGUAGUAAGAGAUUAUGAUACUUCCUGUAGCUACAUAACAGGGGCUUACUUGAAGGGUGACCCUAUUUAUUGUUUCAGUCACCAGUGUUCAGUGGAAAGUCAUGUCUUUCAUAUAAAAAGGAGGUCAGGCACAGUGGCUCAUGCCUGUAAUCCCAGCACUUUGGGAGGGCAAGGCAGGUGGAUCACCUGAGGUCAGGAGUUCGAGACCAGCCUGGCCAACAUGGUGAAACCUGUCUCUACUAAAAAUAUAAAAAUUAGCCAGGCAUGGUGGUGCAUGCCUGUAAUCCC
This 775-nucleotide long non-coding RNA is filed under the name Homo sapiens (human). RNAcentral describes it as "non-protein coding lnc-DLX5-7:2". Lineage: Eukaryota; Metazoa; Chordata; Mammalia; Primates; Hominidae. The record is from RNAcentral.